RNAcentral lists this ribosomal RNA (458 nucleotides) under uncultured bacterium. Its description in RNAcentral is "bacterial SSU rRNA". It matches the Rfam family "Bacterial small subunit ribosomal RNA", at positions 1 to 507 of the family's 1533-position model. The record is from RNAcentral.
GUAGUCACGAGUUUGAUCAUGGCUCAGAACGAACGCUGGCGGCAGGCCUAACACAUGCAAGUCGAGCGCCCCGCAAGGGGAGCGGCGGACGGGUGAGUAACGCGUGGGAACGUACCCUUUGCUACGGAAUAGCCUCGGGAAACUGGGAGUAAUACCGUAUGUGCCCUUCGGGGGAAAGAUUUAUCGGCAAAGGAUCGGCCCGCGUUGGAUUAGGUAGUUGGUGGGGUAAUGGCCUACCAAGCCGACGAUCCAUAGCUGGUUUGAGAGGAUGAUCAGCCACACUGGGACUGAGACACGGCCCAGACUCCUACGGGAGGCAGCAGUGGGGAAUCUUAGACAAUGGGCGCAAGCCUGAUCUAGCCAUGCCGCGUGAGCGAUGAAGGCCUUAGGGUUGUAAAGCUCUUUCAGUGGGGAAGAUAAUGACUGUACCCACAGAAGAAGCCCCGGCUAACUCCGUG